GGAAGUUCGACGGGGGCCCGCACGAAGCGGUGGAGCAUGUGGUUCAAUCGACGCAACGCGAAGAACCUUACCUGGGCUAGACAACAGUGGACCGUCCUAGAGAUAGGAUUUUCCCUUCGGGGACCGCUGGUUCAGGUGCUGCAUGGCUGUCGUCAGCUCGUGCCGUGAGGUGUUGGGUUAAGUCCCGCAACGAGCGCAACCCUCGUACUUAGUUGCCACCAUUCAGUUGGGCACUCUAGGUAGACUGCCGGCGUUAAGCCGGAGGAAGGUGGGGACGACGUCAAGUCAUCAUGGCCCUUAUGCCCAGGGCCACACACGUGCUACAAUGGGCGGCACAAAGGGUCGCGAACCCGCGAGGGGGAGCCAAUCCCAAAAAGCCGUUCUCAGUUCGGAUUGGAGUCUGCAACUCGACUCCAUGAAGUUGGAAUCGCUAGUAAUCGCGCAUCAGCCAUGGCGCGGUGAAUACGUUCCCGGACCUU
Molecule: ribosomal RNA, 479 nt
Filed under: uncultured delta proteobacterium
Lineage: Bacteria; Deltaproteobacteria
Description: bacterial SSU rRNA
Rfam family: Bacterial small subunit ribosomal RNA
Source: RNAcentral